Molecule: unclassified non-coding RNA, 217 nt
Filed under: uncultured fungus
Lineage: Eukaryota; Fungi
Description: sequence contains ITS1, 5.8S rRNA gene
Rfam family: 5.8S ribosomal RNA (bases 169-217)
Source: RNAcentral
UCUCCGUUGGUGAACCAGCGGAGGGAUCAUUACUGAGUUUACGCUCUAUAACCCUUUGUGAACCAAACUUGUUGCUUCGGGGGCGACCCUGCCGUUCGCGGCGUGGGGCCCCCGGAGCCCAUCAAACCCUGCGUAACUAAGUCGUCGGAGUUUAAACAAAUUAAACAAAACUUUCAACAACGGAUCUCUUGGUUCGGGCAUCGAUGAAGAACGCAGC